This 436-nucleotide ribosomal RNA is filed under the name Staphylococcus aureus. Its description in RNAcentral is "partial 23S ribosomal RNA". It matches the Rfam family "Bacterial large subunit ribosomal RNA", at positions 2489 to 2925 of the family's 2925-position model. Lineage: Bacteria; Bacillati; Bacillota; Bacilli; Caryophanales; Staphylococcaceae. The record is from RNAcentral.
CCCCCAAGAGUUCACAUCGACGGGGAGGUUUGGCACCUCGAUGUCGGCUCAUCGCAUCCUGGGGCUGUAGUCGGUCCCAAGGGUUGGGCUGUUCGCCCAUUAAAGCGGUACGCGAGCUGGGUUCAGAACGUCGUGAGACAGUUCGGUCCCUAUCCGUCGUGGGCGUAGGAAAUUUGAGAGGAGCUGUCCUUAGUACGAGAGGACCGGGAUGGACAUACCUCUGGUGUACCAGUUGUCGUGCCAACGGCAUAGCUGGGUAGCUAUGUGUGGACGGGAUAAGUGCUGAAAGCAUCUAAGCAUGAAGCCCCCCUCAAGAUGAGAUUUCCCAACUUCGGUUAUAAGAUCCCUCAAAGAUGAUGAGGUUAAUAGGUUCGAGGUGGAAGCAUGGUGACAUGUGGAGCUGACGAAUACUAAUCGAUCGAAGACUUAAUCAAAA